GCUGGGCAGGGUGGCUCAUGCCUGUAAUUCCAGCACCUUGGAGGCUGAGGCAGGAGGAUCAUGAGUUCAUAGCCAGCCUCAGCAAAAGCGAGGUGCUAAGCAACUCAGUGAGACCCUGUCUCUA
Molecule: small RNA, 124 nt
Filed under: Marmota monax (woodchuck)
Lineage: Eukaryota; Metazoa; Chordata; Mammalia; Rodentia; Sciuridae
Source: RNAcentral